Long non-coding RNA from Nicotiana attenuata, 569 nucleotides. RefSeq lists it as uncharacterized. Lineage: Eukaryota; Viridiplantae; Streptophyta; Magnoliopsida; Solanales; Solanaceae. The record is from RefSeq and is a predicted model, not a curated record. The transcript has 3 exons.
UCGUACACAUACACACUCAGUUGUUUUUGUACUAAACUUUGAGAUUUGAUUUCAAUAUUGUUCUGUACCGGUUUAAAUGAUGAAACUACACAGGUGAUAGCUAGCAUCAUUGAUAAUGUGUUCUUCUCUUACCUUGCCGUGUUUAUUUACGAUAUUUAUUUAGUACAUUGGGUCAGUUGUACUCAUACAACACUAUGUGCUUAAUUGUGCAUAUCCAAGUAUGGGGACCAGUUUUCAGCAUUAGGCUUGUUUGAUGGACUAUCUGCUAGAGGCAAGGUAUGGGGACCAAUUUUCAGCAGUAGGCUUGCUUGUUGGACUAUCUGCUAGAGGCGAGUGUGGGGACCAGUUUUCAGCAGUAGGCUUGCUUGAUGGACUAUCUGCUAGAAGCGAGGUAGAGAUGCAUCCUUGGUCGCAUUUUGACUUGUCUUUUCUUUUCUUAUUGUUGUUACAGUUCAGACAGUGUAUUUAUUGUUUAGUUUUAGACUUUAUUCCGUUGUAGAAACUCAUGACUCCAUACUUACAAGCUUCUGGGUAUUUACUUUGGUAUUAGCAGUUUUAUUGUAUUAAGA